GUAGCUCAGGAAUCUGCUCCUCCCUCCAGCACCAUGGCAACAGGCCUCUGAGAACUGCUGAUCUGACGCCCUGGAUGCUGGAAAUCUCAGAUGAAGGUGCCGGCAGGGCCCUGCCCCCUCUGAAGGCUCUCGGGGAAGCUUCUUUGCCUCUUCCAGCUCCUGGUGGCUCCAUGCACUGCUGGGCUCGUGGCUGCCUCCCUCUGGUCUCUGCCCCGGUCUGCAUGUGGCCUUCCCUGAGUGUUGCUGUGUCCUUGCUGCUGCUUAGAAGCACACCAGCCAUUGGAUUAGGACCCACUCUCAUCCAGCAUGGCCUCAUCUUAACUCAUUACGUCUACAAAAUCUCCAUUUCCAAAUAAGGUCCCAUUCUGGGGUCCCGAGUGGAAUGGGGGGGACACCAUCAACCCAUCCUAAGGCCUUCUUGGGCAGCCUCAGGGGGAAGCCGGACCAGCCUUAAGUGAAAGUGGAGGGUUCCAAGGAUCCUACAAAGGGGCCCUGACCCAGUCUGUGGGCAGCAAGGGACAGAGUGGACGAUGC
This 534-nucleotide long non-coding RNA is filed under the name Pongo abelii (Sumatran orangutan). RNAcentral's name for it is "lincRNA". The record is from RNAcentral. Lineage: Eukaryota; Metazoa; Chordata; Mammalia; Primates; Hominidae.